RNAcentral lists this ribosomal RNA (494 nucleotides) under uncultured bacterium. Its description in RNAcentral is "partial 16S ribosomal RNA". It matches the Rfam family "Bacterial small subunit ribosomal RNA", at positions 28 to 507 of the family's 1533-position model. The record is from RNAcentral.
GACGAACGCUGGCGGCGUGCUUAACACAUGCAAGUCGAACGGUGAAGCGCCUUCCUUUUUGGUGGGUGUGGAUGAGUGGCGAACGGGUGAGUAACACGUGAGUAACCUGCCCCCUUCUUCUGGAUAACCGCAUGAAAGUGUGGCUAAUACGGGAUCUUCUGGGUCUGUCGCAUGAUGGGUCUGGGAAAGAUAUUGUUUCGGUGGGGGAUGGGCUCGCGGCCUAUCAGCUUGUUGGUGGGGUGAUGGCCUACCAAGGCGGUGACGGGUAGCCGGCCUGAGAGGGUGGACGGUCACACUGGGACUGAGACACGGCCCAGACUCCUACGGGAGGCAGCAGUGGGGAAUAUUGCACAAUGGGCGCAAGCCUGAUGCAGCGACGCCGCGUGAGGGAUGGAGGCCGUCGGGUUGGGAACCUCUUUCGCCAGUGAAGCAGGCCUGCCUCGUUUGUGGGUGGGUUGACGGUAGCUGGAUAAGAAGCGCCGGCUAACUACGUG